GACGAACGCUGGCGGCGUGCUUAACACAUGCAAGUCGAACGGAAAGGCCCUGCUUGCAGGGUACUCGAGUGGCGAACGGGUGAGUAACACGUGGGUGAUCUGCCCUGCACUUCGGGAUAAGCCUGGGAAACUGGGUCUAAUACCGGAUAGGAGCCAUUUUUAGUGUGAUGGUUGGAAAGUUUUUUCGGUGUAGGAUGAGCUCGCGGCCUAUCAGCUUGUUGGUGGGGUAAUGGCCUACCAAGGCGGCGACGGGUAGCCGGCCUGAGAGGGUGGGCGGCCACAAGGGAACUGAGACGGGGUCGAGAGGCCUAGGGGAGGGAGGAGGAGGGGAUGGUGGGCAAUGGGCGAAAGCGUGACGGAGGCACGCCGCUUGAGUGAUGAAGGUCGUUGGAUUGUAGAACUCGGUUAGGAGGGAAGAACAUAUGGGUAAGUAACUGUGCGCAUCUUGACGGUACCUAAUCAGAAAGCGACGGCUCACUACGUG
Molecule: ribosomal RNA, 484 nt
Filed under: uncultured bacterium
Lineage: Bacteria
Description: partial 16S ribosomal RNA
Rfam family: Bacterial small subunit ribosomal RNA
Source: RNAcentral